This 497-nucleotide ribosomal RNA is filed under the name uncultured bacterium. RNAcentral describes it as "partial 16S ribosomal RNA". It matches the Rfam family "Bacterial small subunit ribosomal RNA", at positions 28 to 507 of the family's 1533-position model. The record is from RNAcentral.
GAUGAACGCUGGCGGCGUGCCUAAUACAUGCAAGUCGAGCGAACAGAUAAGGAGCUUGCUCCUUUGACGUUAGCGGCGGACGGGUGAGUAACACGUGGAUAACCUACCUAUAAGACUGGGAUAACUUCGGGAAACCGGAGCUAAUACCGGAUAACAUCUUGAACCGCAUGGUUCAAUAGUGAAAGGCGGCUUUGCUGUCACUUAUAGAUGGAUCCGCGCCGUAUUAGCUAGUUGGUAAGGUAACGGCUUACCAAGGCAACGAUACGUAGCCGAACUGAGAGGGUGAUCGGCCACACUGGAACUGAGACACGGUCCAGACUCCUACGGGAGGCAGCAGUAGGGAAUCUUCCGCAAUGGGCGAAAGCCUGACGGAGCAACGCCGCGUGAGUGAUGAAGGUCUUCGGAUCGUAAAACUCUGUUAUCAGGGAAGAACAAAUGUGUAAGUAACUGUGCACAUCUUGACGGUACCUGAUCAGAAAGCCACGGCUAACUACGUG